UGGAUCCAGACUUUGAUUAUGGCUCAGGACGAACGCUGGCGGCGCGCCUAACACAUGCAAGUCGAACGGUGAUAAGCUGUUUGAAGUUUUCGGAUGGAAGACGGCAUAUCUUAGUGGCGAACGGGUGAGUAACACGUGAGCAACCUGCCUUUCAGAGGGGGACAACAUUUGGAAACGAAUGCUAAUACCGCAUAAGACCACGGUGCCGCAUGGCAGAGGGGUCAAAGGAGCAAUCCGCUGAAAGAUGGGCUCGCGUCCGAUUAGGUAGUUGGUGUGGUAACGGCACACCAAGCCGACGAUCGGUAGCCGGACUGAGAGGUUGAACGGCCACGUUGGGACUGAGACACGGCCCAGACUCCUACGGGAGGCAGCAGUGGGGAAUAUUGCACAAUGGGGGAAACCCUGAUGCAGCGACGCCGCGUGGAGGAAGAAGGUCUUCGGAUUGUAAACUCCUGUCCGAGGGUAAGAAGAAAGUGACGUAACCCUUGGAGGAAGCACCGGCUAACUACGUGCCAGCAGCCGCGGUAAAACGUAGGGUGCAAGCGUUGUCCGGAAUUACUGGGUGUAAAGGGAGCGCAGGCGGAGUGGCAAGUUGGGAGUGAAACGUGCGGGCUCAACCCGCAACCUGCUUUCAAAACUGCCAGUCUUGAGUGGUGUAGAGGUAGGCGGAAUUCCCGGUGUAGCGGUGGAAUGCGUAGAUAUCGGGAGGAACACCAGUGGCGAAGGCGGCCUACUGGGCACUAACUGACGCUGAGGCUCGAAAGCAUGGGUAGCAAACAGGAUUAGAUACCCUGGUAGUCCAUGCCGUAAACGAUGAUUACUAGGUGUGGGGGGAUAGACCCCCUCCGUGCCGCAGUUAACACAAUAAGUGAUCCACCUGGGGAGUACGACCGCAAGGUUGCAACUCAAAUG
This 912-nucleotide ribosomal RNA is filed under the name uncultured Bacillota bacterium. RNAcentral describes it as "bacterial SSU rRNA". It matches the Rfam family "Bacterial small subunit ribosomal RNA", at positions 1 to 907 of the family's 1533-position model. The record is from RNAcentral. Lineage: Bacteria; Bacillati; Bacillota.